Molecule: ribosomal RNA, 494 nt
Filed under: uncultured bacterium
Lineage: Bacteria
Description: partial 16S ribosomal RNA
Rfam family: Bacterial small subunit ribosomal RNA
Source: RNAcentral
GACGAACGCUGGCGGCGCGCUUAACACAUGCAAGUCGAACGGAAAGGCCUGCUUUCCCUUGUGGAUUGCGGGUACUCGAGUGGCGAACGGGUGAGUAACACGUGAGUGAUCUGCCCCCAACUUGGGUAUAAGCCUGGGAAACUGGGUCUAAUUCCCGAUAGGACUGCAGGGUGGUGCCUGUGGUGGAAAACGAUUUUCUAGUGGUUGGGGAUGAGCUCGCGGCCUAUCAGCUUGUUGGUGGGGUAAUGGCCUACCAAGGCGGCGAGGGGUAGCCGGCCUGAGAGGGUGGACGGCCACAUUGGGACUGGGAUACGGCCCAGACUCCUACGGGAGGCAGCAGUGGGGGAUAUUGGACAAUAGGCGGAAGCCUGAUGCAGCGACGCCGCGUGGGGGAUGACGGCCUUCGGGUUGUAAACUCCUUUCGACCGAGAGGAAGCCACCUGGUUGGAAGGGUGGUGACGGUAGUGGUAGAAGAAGCACCGGCUAACUACGUG